UACGGAGGGUGCAAGCGUUAUCCGGAAUCACUGGGUUUAAAGGGUGCGUAGGCGGUUAUGUAAGUCAGGGUGAAAGGUCACAGCUUAACUGUGAGAUUGCCUUUGAAACUGUGUAACUUGAAUCAGAUAGAGGUUAGUGGAAUGCGACAUGUAGCGGUGAAAUGUAUAGAUAUGUCGUGGAAUACCGAUUGCGAAGGCAGCUAACUGGGUCUUGAUUGACGCUGAGGCACGAAAGCGUGGGGAGCGAACAGGAUUAGA
This 258-nucleotide ribosomal RNA is filed under the name uncultured prokaryote. RNAcentral's name for it is "partial 16S ribosomal RNA". It matches the Rfam family "Bacterial small subunit ribosomal RNA", at positions 524 to 782 of the family's 1533-position model. The record is from RNAcentral.